This is a long non-coding RNA of Hyla sarda, 497 nucleotides long. RefSeq lists it as uncharacterized. The record is from RefSeq and is a predicted model, not a curated record. NCBI's taxonomy places the organism in Eukaryota, Metazoa, Chordata, Amphibia, Anura, Hylidae. The transcript has 3 exons.
CUCCCCCCCCCCCCCGCGCCUGCAGUUCUCACCAGAUACAGGGGCGCGUAGAUCUUUAGGGAUUCCUCCAUGGCGCUCUGCGUGAUCUGCAGGUUGAAAUGAAUCCACAAGAUGGAGAUUUCUUUUAAAAAAUCUACUCCUCCAUACCUUGGCCUUCUUUUCUUCAAAGUAUCCAGAAUGUCAUUUGUUGUUUUAUUGCUUGAUGGGAAAAUCCCCGUUCUCCCUGGUGCCCUGAUACCGUCACCUCUGGAAUGAUGUGGACAAAGAGAAAACGCAGUAAGGAAAAGGGAGGAUUGUAUAAACACACUCGAUAGGAAUGAAUGCCUGGAAUCCUCUGGGAUCAGGUCUGAUCGUAUGAGGCUGGAAUAUAGUAUUGUCAUCUUUAUGUGUUGUAGAGCUGGUGAUCUUACUAACACAUUUCUGGAUGUUGUCAUGAUUUUCAGACCGUCUUAGAUAUUUCACGACAGGACAGGCUAUAUGGUUUUAUUAAAAAGUAU